GGAUUAGUGGCGAACGGGUGAGUAACACGUGAGUAACCUGCCCUUGACUCUGGGAUAAGCCCGGGAAACUGGGUCUAAUACCGGAUAGGAACGUCCACCGCAUGGUGGUUGUUGGAAAGAUUUAUCGGUCAUGGAUGGACUCGCGGCCUAUCAGCUUGUUGGUGAGGUAAUGGCUCACCAAGGCGACGACGGGUAGCCGGCCUGAGAGGGUGACCGGCCACACUGGGACUGAGACACGGCCCAGACUCCUACGGGAGGCAGCAGUGGGGAAUAUUGCACAAUGGGCGAAAGCCUGAUGCAGCGACGCCGCGUGAGGGAUGACGGCCUUCGGGUUGUAAACCUCUUUCAGUAGGGAAGAAGCGAAAGUGACGGUACCUGCAGAAGAAGCACCGGCUAACUACGUGCCAGCAGCCGCGGUAAUACGUAGGGUGCGAGCGUUAUCCGGAAUUAUUGGGCGUAAAGAGCUCGUAGGCGGUUUGUCGCGUCUGUCGUGAAAGUCCGGGGCUUAACCCCGGAUCUGCGGUGGGUACGGGCAGACUAGAGUGCAGUAGGGGAGACUGGAAUUCCUGGUGUAGCGGUGGAAUGCGCAGAUAUCAGGAGGAACACCGAUGG
RNAcentral lists this ribosomal RNA (612 nucleotides) under Micrococcus sp. M89. Its description in RNAcentral is "bacterial SSU rRNA". It matches the Rfam family "Bacterial small subunit ribosomal RNA", at positions 89 to 715 of the family's 1533-position model. Lineage: Bacteria; Bacillati; Actinomycetota; Actinomycetes; Micrococcales; Micrococcaceae. The record is from RNAcentral.